AUGAGGGCGUCGAAGCGGCCGCUCGGCGUGGUGAUGGCGUGGGUGCGCCGGCAGCCGCCCAAGGUCAAGGCCUUCCUCGCCGUGGUCACCGGCAUGGCCGCGCUCGUCUUCAUCCGCUUCAUCGUCCACGACCACGACAACCUCUUCGUCGCCGCCGAGGCCGUGCACGCGCUCGGCAUCGCCGUGCUCAUCUACAAGCUCACCAAGGAGAGGACCUGCGCCGGACUAUCCCUUAAGACUCAGGAUUUAACUGCAUUGUUUCUAGCUGUUAGACUAUACUGCAGCUUUGUCAUGGAAUAUGACAUCCAUACUGUGUUGGAUACUGCUACACUUGUGGCUACACUUUUUGUUAUCUACAUGAUUCGGUUCAAACUUAGGUCAACUUAUAUGGUGGACAAGGACAACUUUGCAUUGUACUAUGUGGUGAUACCUUGUGCUGUGUUGGCACUAGUUGUUCAUCCUUCAACGUCUCACAACAUCGCAAACCGGUUUAGCUGGGCGUUCUGUGUUUACCUGGAAGCUGUCUCAGUGCUGCCGCAACUGCGUUUGAUGCAAAAUACCAAGAUUGUGGAACCGUUCACAGCUCACUAUGUGUUUGCGCUGGGGGUUGCGAGGUUUCUUAGCUGUGCCCACUGGGUUCUCCAGGUUCUGGACACCCGUGGGCGUCUGUUGACUGCGCUGGGCUACGGGCUGUGGCCAUCCAUGGUUCUCCUGUCAGAAAUCGUGCAGACCUUCAUCCUCGCAGAUUUCUGCUACUACUAUGUGAAGAGCCUGGUCGGCGGGCAGCUGGUGCUACGGCUACCCUCCGGGGUGGUGUAG
RNAcentral lists this ribosomal RNA (819 nucleotides) under Triticum aestivum (bread wheat). Its description in RNAcentral is "partial small subunit ribosomal RNA". The record is from RNAcentral. Lineage: Eukaryota; Viridiplantae; Streptophyta; Magnoliopsida; Poales; Poaceae.